RNAcentral lists this transfer RNA (71 nucleotides) under Ipomoea nil (Japanese morning glory). It matches the Rfam family "tRNA". Rfam says of the family: Transfer RNA (tRNA) molecules are approximately 80 nucleotides in length. Their secondary structure includes four short double-helical elements and three loops (D, anti-codon, and T loops). Further hydrogen bonds mediate the characteristic L-shaped molecular structure. tRNAs have two regions of fundamental functional importance: the anti-codon, which is responsible for specific mRNA codon recognition, and the 3' end, to which the tRNAs corresponding amino acid is attached (by aminoacyl-tRNA synthetases). tRNAs cope with the degeneracy of the genetic code in two manners: having more than one tRNA (with a specific anti-codon) for a particular amino acid; and 'wobble' base-pairing, i.e. permitting non-standard base-pairing at the 3rd anti-codon position. The record is from Rfam by way of RNAcentral. Lineage: Eukaryota; Viridiplantae; Streptophyta; Magnoliopsida; Solanales; Convolvulaceae.
AUCGUUGUAGUCUAGUUGGUUAGGAUACUCGGCUCUCACCGAGAGACCCGGGUUCAAUUCCGGCAACGGAA